UACGAAGGGGGCUAGCGUUGUUCGGAAUUACUGGGCGUAAAACGCACGUAGGCCGACGUGUAAGUCAGGGGUGAAUUCCCGGAGCUCAACUCCGGAACUGCCUUUGAUACUGCAUGUCUCGAGUCCGGAAGAGGUGGGUGGAAUUCCUAGUGUAGAGGUGAAAUUCGUAGAUAUUAGGAAGAACACCGGUGGCGACGGCGGCCCACUGGUCCGGUACUGAAGCUGAGGUGCGAAAGCGUGGGGAGUAAACAGG
Molecule: ribosomal RNA, 253 nt
Filed under: uncultured bacterium
Lineage: Bacteria
Description: partial 16S ribosomal RNA
Rfam family: Bacterial small subunit ribosomal RNA
Source: RNAcentral